CCUACGGGAGACAGCAGUGGGGGAUAUUGCACAAUGGGGGGAACCCUGAUGCAGCGACGCCGCGUGGGUGAAGAAGCGCCUCGGCGCGUAAAGCCCUGUCAGCAGGGGAGAAAAUGACGGUACCUGAAGAAGAAGCCCCGGGUAAACACGUGCCAGCAGCCGUGGCAAUACGGAAGGGGCAAGCGUUAUCCGGAUUUACUGGGUGUAAAGGGGGCGCAGACGGGGAUGCAAGCCAGGCGUGAAAGCCCGGGGCCCAACCCCGGGAGUGCUCUUGGAACUGCGUGGCUGGAGUGCAGGAGGGGCAGGCGGAAUGCCUGGUGUAGCGGUGAAAUGCGUAGAUAUCAGGAAGAACACCGGUGGCGAAGGCAGCCUGCUGGACUGCAACUGACGUUGAGGCACGAAAGCGUGGGGAGCAAACAGGAUUAGAUACCCGUGUAGUC
This 440-nucleotide ribosomal RNA is filed under the name uncultured bacterium. RNAcentral describes it as "partial 16S ribosomal RNA". It matches the Rfam family "Bacterial small subunit ribosomal RNA", at positions 338 to 795 of the family's 1533-position model. The record is from RNAcentral.